RNAcentral lists this long non-coding RNA (400 nucleotides) under Carica papaya (papaya). RNAcentral's name for it is "long non-coding RNA (CPAP_LNC010657)". Lineage: Eukaryota; Viridiplantae; Streptophyta; Magnoliopsida; Brassicales; Caricaceae. The record is from RNAcentral.
UCUCAAGCCAUAACCAGAACUUAAAUAUGUGAUUGUACAAGAUUGUUAUAAGCAAGAGCCUAUGGGUGACUUCAAAGGUUCUCAAUAGCAAUUUGAAGCAUUCCUAUAUAUGUACCAGGAAUGCUUCCCAAAGAGCUAUUUGGUACCAAAUCAAAAAAAGAAUUCUGCAAGGUAGGGUCUAGCAGAGUAAAAAAGAAUAAGGCAGCACAGGAGGGAUCUCUAAGAUUAAAGGAAGCAUCUUUAGUAAAUUGAAGUUCCAUUAUUGUCAGUAGAAGUUAAAGAAUAUGUGUUUUCUAACAUAAAACAAGAUUUUGACUUCUUGUGACAUCAGUAAUCUCAUACAUAUAUUGAAUCAAAAAAGAAAAUGAUCAAGUUAAGGAAGUCAUUUUAGGCUCCUUAG